Hevea brasiliensis (rubber tree) is the source of this 3092-nucleotide long non-coding RNA. RefSeq lists it as uncharacterized. The record is from RefSeq and is a predicted model, not a curated record. Lineage: Eukaryota; Viridiplantae; Streptophyta; Magnoliopsida; Malpighiales; Euphorbiaceae. The transcript has 2 exons.
CUAAACCAAUUCAAAACGCAAAUUGGAUGGAGAAACGUGCAAACUGAGUCAAUCUGGUUAACCAGCGAUCGCUGUGUAAUUGCCGCUAAAUGAUACGAGCCUUCUAAUGAUCGAUUCACCACCGACUACAGUGAUUCCAUGUCGUGCCUGCUCCUGUCUCCAGAGACUUGGAUUAUGGGUAUCUCAGAUUUUUUUGGAACUAUUAAAGUCUCACUGCUUUCCUUCUACACCAAUCAUUUUUGCAACUUACAAUUAAACCCAUGUCACGUUUUUGAGAAUCUUAUGUGGGUUUUUGUUUUACUGUUAUUCUUGUCCUGAUCAGCAUUUUACAUUGAAAUUGGGAAGCUGUGCAGUUUUCUUUCUAGCCAUAAUUGAAUUAAUCUAGCUGCUUUUUGUUAUUGUCGGAUUGCAUUCUAUAUUUUGCUUCUUUCUGUGUGUGUGUGUGUGUUCUUGUUGGGAAAUAAAGAAGAAUUAAGCCACAUAAGAUGGGUAUGCAUGCAAAUUUGAUUGGAUUCCCUUUGCUGAUUACUUACAUAUUACUGCUGUGCAAUUUCUAUAUUUGUAUUCACGUUAAUCCUGAUUGCUGAUAUGGUAUCAUUUUCCUAAGAAGUAUGAUGAUGUGGGCUGAUGAGUUAAUGAUUCUUCACUUUACUUCUUGUUGUAAAGCAUGUCAAUUUAAGUUUUAGUAGACUAGGGAAUCGCAUGGAUUUUCCUAACAUACCCAUGGAUGGAAGAAUUUUCUGGUGUGAUUAUUUGGUUAAGACAGUCAAGGAGAAUGCUGUGAUAAUAAAUUUGACCUUUUCUGCUGAAAUUACUUUUGCUGCUAGUUAUUAUAUGCUUUGUCAAUUCAUCCAUGACCAAAGCAAAAGGGUAAGGGCUCAAGCUAGAUUCUUGUGGAGUCCAACUGCGAUUGGACUAAAUUGGAAACUCAAUUUGUUCUGUACAAGUUGAUAAAGGGGUGAAUUGAAAUCUUUCUUCGUGAGAUUUUAUUCUAAUCUCGUUCAAUUGCUCUUAUGCUCUUGGUUGAAUUGGUAACUUUAUUUACAAUGCAUACGUGGCAGGUACAUUACGUGGAAGUCUGUCAAAUGAGCUUGCAGAAAUUGAUAUUCUAAGGUUCCUACAUUAGCUUGAAAAAUGAGCAAAAACUAUAAAAUUUUUCUGGCUAGAGUGGUUUCAAUUAAAGAUGAAGUUAUCAUGCUUUUUUGGCCGUCCAACAUCAGUGAUGCAGGAUCUUCUAGAGAUUUUAGAACUACCUAAUUUAGGAAGAAAUAUAGUAAGUAGUAUUUUAUCUUAUUGAGGAAGUUUGAAUUGGUUUGAGAUUUCUAAUUUGUAUUUGAAUAGUAUUUUCUUGUUUGAGAUUCCAAAUCCUACUACUAGGAUUAUAAAUACUACCAUAAAUACCUAUGCCUUCUAGAUAUUUUGGUAAAGCUUUUUAUAUUAUUAUUGACAAUUUGAGAAAUGAUUUUGAGAAUUAAUACGAGUUUUGAGAAUUGUUUCUCAUCCCCUUUUGUGUAUUCUAUUUGUUCCACAUCAACUAGCUUUUAGAAUACACUUUUUAUCUUUUUUUUUUUCUUUCGGUUUACUUGCAUUCCUUACUGCAUAUAUGUGAAAAGUGGCAAAGUGCAGUAGUGCACUUAACCUUUUCUGUGGAUGACCACUGCUAUUCAUUCUUUCUCUCCCUUUUUAAUAUUUGACGUGUUCUUCUCUUUCCACCUCAGUCUUAAAAGGGUUUUUAUAUAUGUAUAAAGUAUGAUUAUUGAUUGAGAACCCAUACAGAUGCUGUACGAUGGAUGAAGUAAGCAGGUGCUUCAAUAGCAUUUCAUGAUCACAAGUGCCUAGGAGGCGGCAAUACAUCCUCAAAUAUUUUGGGCAAUGGUCUUUGUGAGAGCAAGGCCUCUGCGUUUGCUUAUCUCAAAUGGUCGAACUUUGUUUGCGCUGUGCCAUCUUGCAAACCCAGACAUUCCAAUGCUUAUCACGGACGUUGUAAUUAGAAUCUUCAACCAGAAUACUUGAGUGGAGAAAAAGAAUUGGGCAUAUUUAGAUGAUGGUACAGAAAAUGUCUUCUUUAGAAAAAGAGUAAAUUUUAAGUGGUAGGGCAUUGGUUUAGCCAAAAACGCAAAAGCUCCAUGAACCUCCAAUAAUUACGGCAAAGAAGAAGCUAUUGGUAAGCUAUUUUCUGUAUAAGAUUACUGCAUAGAUUUGAAUCCUUCAUUUCUUCUAGCAAGCACUUCAAUCUUUAUAUACUUUUUUCAUCAAACUCAAUAUUUGAUUUGUAUGGCUCAUAUGAAGAAAUUGUUGCUACUUAAAUAUUUCCUUUACUUCUAGAUUCCAAAAUUACAAGUAUACAGGCAUUUACAAGAUAGAAGCAUCAUGAAAAAGAAAUUAACAAAACCACUAAACAGAUAUCUCUCUGAUCGAAAUCAAUUAGAUUCAGAAACAUACAGUAUUAGUACUACAGCUUAAGUAAUAACUAGUGGAACCCUCAUCUAAACAAGUGCUCUUUAAAUUUUUUCCCCUUUAAACUAUCGUUUGAUGCAGGACUUAGUAUGAUGGGACAAUGCCAUAUCCAGCUUCUGCCAUUAGUGUUGUGGAGAACAACUGAUCCACUUCAACUUCUACAUCUGUUCUCUUUGCAAAUCGGCCUUUGAUCCUGGGUCGAGUCUCUGCAUAUGCCUUCCUUGAAGCAUACCUUAUUGUCUUCUCAAAUUUCCUUGUCUUCUUUUUCUCUCUGUAUCUUAGCACCCUUGCCUCCCUGGCCCUUGGACUAUAUUGGGAUGGCAUCUGCAUGGGAGGACUGGAGAAAAGGUCAAUAGUCCCUUUUGGAGGUCUCGAGUGUAAGAUCGAUGUCUCACUCAUUGUUGAAUCAGGCACCACUCCAACAUCCAUUGAUGAAAUGGAGACCUAAUUACAUAAACAAAACAAAUGUUUAGAAUGAGAUCAGAAUCAAAUGCAGUUUUCAGGAAUUAUUUGUAACAUUUCUAAUUAUUGUCCUUAAGGUCACAUGCUAUAUGCAAAUGGAACAGUAAUGAGAAAGGAAAAUAAGGCUUUCUGGCAUGCUAAACGCCUUUGCAAGCUCAAGAAAGUUUCAAGAA